This 429-nucleotide ribosomal RNA is filed under the name bacterium. Its description in RNAcentral is "partial 16S ribosomal RNA". It matches the Rfam family "Bacterial small subunit ribosomal RNA", at positions 355 to 776 of the family's 1533-position model. The record is from RNAcentral.
UAGGGAAUCUUCCACAAUGGACGCAAGUCUGAUGGAGCAACGCCGCGUGAGUGAAGAAGGUUUUCGGAUCGUAAAGCUCUGUUGUUGGUGAAGAAGGAUAGAGGCAGUAACUGGUCUUUAUUUGACGGUAAUCAACCAGAAAGUCACGGCUAACUACGUGCCAGCAGCCGCGGUAAUACGUAGGUGGCAAGCGUUGUCCGGAUUUAUUGGGGGUAAAGCGAGCGCAGGCGGAAUGAUAAGUCUGAUGUGAAAGCCCACGGCUCAACCGUGGAACUGCAUCGGAAACUGUCAUUCUUGAGUGCAGAAGAGGAGAGUGGAAUUCCAUGUGUAGCGGUGGAAUGCGUAGAUAUAUGGAAGAACACCAGUGGCGAAGGCGGCUCUCUGGUCUGCAACUGACGCUGAGGCUCGAAAGCAUGGGUAGCGAACAGG